GACGAACGCUGGCGGCGUGCCUAAUACAUGCAAGUAGAAUGCUGAAGAGAGGAGCUUGCUCUUCUUGGAUGAGUUGCGAACGGGUGAGUAACGCGUAGGUAACCUGCCUUGUAGCGGGGGAUAACUAUUGGAAACGAUAGCUAAUACCGCAUAACAAUGGAUGACACAUGUCAUUUAUUUGAAAGGGGCAAUUGCUCCACUACAAGAUGGACCUGCGUUGUAUUAGCUAGUAGGUGAGGUAAUGGCUCACCUAGGCGACGAUACAUAGCCGACCUGAGAGGGUGAUCGGCCACACUGGGACUGAGACACGGCCCAGACUCCUACGGGAGGCAGCAGUAGGGAAUCUUCGGCAAUGGGGGCAACCCUGACCGAGCAACGCCGCGUGAGUGAAGAAGGUUUUCGGAUCGUAAAGCUCUGUUGUAAGUCAAGAACGGGUGUGAGAGUGGAAAGUUCACACUGUGACGGUAGCUUACCAGAAAGGGACGGCUAACUACGUG
Molecule: ribosomal RNA, 497 nt
Filed under: uncultured bacterium
Lineage: Bacteria
Description: partial 16S ribosomal RNA
Rfam family: Bacterial small subunit ribosomal RNA
Source: RNAcentral